GUACACGCUGUGACUAGCAUAUCAAUAAGCGGAGGAAAAGAAACUAACAAGGAUUCCCUCAGUAACGGCGAGUGAAGCGGGAAGAGCUCAAAUUUGAAAUCUUCAAGGCCUACCUUGCACGAAUUGUAGUUUAAAGAAGUGUUUUCUGUUACGAUCGUAAUAUAAGUUCUUUGGAAUAGGACAUCACAGAGGGUGAGAAUCCCGUCUAUGAUUGCGAUUUGUAGCUUUGUGAUACACUUUCAAAGAGUCGGGUUGUUUGGGAAUGCAGCCCAAAACGGGAGGUAAAUUUCUUCUAAGGCUAAAUAUUGGCGAGAGACCGAUAGCGAACAAGUACCGUGAGGGAAAGAUGAAAAGAACUUUGAAAAGAGAGUUAAAUCAGUACGUGAAAUUGUCAAAAGGGAAGCGUUUGACACCAGUGUUGUUUUCUCGAAAAUCAAUUAAAAAUGGCUCGAUUUUGUAUUGCUGAGACCUUAAAAGCUCACUGUACAUUUUUCGUGUCUUUUUUAAUGCACUUUUCGUUUAACAAGUCAACAUCAGUUUCUUUUGUUGUAAAAGGGUCAUUGGAAGGUGGCUUUCUUUUCGGAGAAAGUGUUUAUAGCCUUUGGCCUCUGCAAUCGGAGAGACUGAGGUCUGCAGCGUAGACUCUUCGGGGUUAGAUACAUUUGUGCUAAGUUAUAGCUUUUUAUAGACAACUUGUUGACUAUAAUUAGUCUUGUAGCUUACUCGCUUAUGCUAUUUUACCUACGCUUAGGAUGUUGAGUAGCGACAUACGCAC
RNAcentral lists this ribosomal RNA (775 nucleotides) under uncultured Neocallimastigales. RNAcentral's name for it is "partial large subunit ribosomal RNA". It matches the Rfam family "Eukaryotic large subunit ribosomal RNA", at positions 22 to 649 of the family's 3401-position model. Lineage: Eukaryota; Fungi; Neocallimastigomycota; Neocallimastigomycetes; Neocallimastigales. The record is from RNAcentral.